AUUGAACGCUGGCGGCAUGCCUUACACAUGCAAGUCGAACGGCAGCGCGGGGCAACCUGGCGGCGAGUGGCGAACGGGUGAGUAAUAUAUCGGAACAUACCCUAGAGUGGGGGAUAACGUAGCGAAAGUUACGCUAAUACCGCAUACGCACUAAGGUGGAAAGUGGGGGAUCUUCGGACCUCAUGCUCAUGGAGUGGCCGAUAUCUGAUUAGCUAGUUGGUGAGGUAAAGGCUCACCAAGGCGACGAUCAGUAGCUGGUUUGAGAGAACGACCAGCCACACUGGAACUGAGACACGGUCCAGACUCCUACGGGAGGCAGCAGUGGGGAAUUUUGGACAAUGGGCGAAAGCCUGAUCCAGCAAUGCCGCGUGAGUGAUGAAGGCCUUAGGGUUGUAAAGCUCUUUUACCCGGGAUGAUAAUGACAGUACCGGGAGAAUAAGCUCCGGCUAACUCCGUGCCAGCAGCCG
RNAcentral lists this ribosomal RNA (467 nucleotides) under uncultured bacterium. RNAcentral's name for it is "bacterial SSU rRNA". It matches the Rfam family "Bacterial small subunit ribosomal RNA", at positions 30 to 517 of the family's 1533-position model. The record is from RNAcentral.